This 305-nucleotide ribosomal RNA is filed under the name uncultured bacterium. RNAcentral's name for it is "bacterial SSU rRNA". It matches the Rfam family "Bacterial small subunit ribosomal RNA", at positions 333 to 655 of the family's 1533-position model. The record is from RNAcentral.
AUUGACCUACGGGGCGCAGCAGUAGGGAAUAUUGCUCAAUGGGGGAAACCCUGAAGCAGCAACGCCGCGUGGAGGAUGAAGGUUUUCGGAUUGUAAACUCCUUUUGUUAGAGAAGAUAAUGACGGUACCUAUCGAAUAAGCACCGGCUAACUCCGUGCCAGCAGCCGCGGUAAUACGGAGGGUGCAAGCGUUACUCGGAAUCACUGGGCGUAAAGAGCGCGUAGGCGGGAUAGCAAGUCAGAUGUGAAAUCCUAUGGCUUAACCAUAGAACUGCACUUGAAACUGUUAUUCUAGAGUAUGGGAGG